CCUACGGGAGGCUGCAGUGGGGAAUAUUGGACAAUGGGCGAAAGCCUGAUCCAGCCAUGCCGCGUGUGUGAAGAAGGCCUUCGGGUUGUAAAGCACUUUCAGUGGGGAAGAAAGCCUUGGGGCUAAUACCCUCGAGGAAGGACAUCACCCACAGAAGAAGCACCGGCUAACUCCGUGCCAGCAGCCGCGGUAAUACGGAGGGUGCGAGCGUUAAUCGGAAUUACUGGGCGUAAAGCGCGCGUAGGCGGUCUGAUAAGCCGGUUGUGAAAGCCCCGGGCUCAACCUGGGAACGGCAUCCGGAACUGGCAGGCUAGAGUGCAGGAGAGGAGGGUAGAAUUCCCGGUGUAGCGGUGAAAUGCGUAGAGAUCGGGAGGAAUACAAGUGGCGAAGGCGGCCCUCUGGACGGACACUGACGCUGAGGUGCGAAAGCGUGGGUAGCAAACAGGAUUAGAUACCCUGGUAGUC
Molecule: ribosomal RNA, 465 nt
Filed under: Vreelandella stevensii
Lineage: Bacteria; Pseudomonadati; Pseudomonadota; Gammaproteobacteria; Oceanospirillales; Halomonadaceae
Description: partial 16S ribosomal RNA
Rfam family: Bacterial small subunit ribosomal RNA
Source: RNAcentral